UACGGGGGGGGCAAGCGUUGUUCGGAAUUACUGGGCGUAAAGGGCGCGUAGGCGGCCUGCUAAGUCGGAUGUGAAAUCCCUCGGCUCAACCGAGGAACUGCAUCCGAUACUGGCGGGCUUGAAUCCGGGAGAGGGAUGUGGAAUUCCAGGUGUAGCGGUGAAAUGCGUAGAUAUCUGGAGGAACACCGGUGGCGAAGGCGGCAUCCUGGACCAAUACUGACGCUGAGGAGCGAAAGCCAGGGGAGCAAACGGG
Molecule: ribosomal RNA, 253 nt
Filed under: uncultured bacterium
Lineage: Bacteria
Description: partial 16S ribosomal RNA
Rfam family: Bacterial small subunit ribosomal RNA
Source: RNAcentral